CUUGAAAUUUAUCUUAAUGAGCAAAAUCCAGCCAAUGGAACAGGGUGCAGAUGAAAGUGACAGAUGGGAUCAUUUAAAGUUUGAUUCUUUGCAUGAAAGAAAAUACUAUUUUCAAUAAGUUAUUUUUCUUCUGUUUGUUACAGUGUUCUGCUUAGUGUCACAGCCUCCAAUUGGCAGUCCCAGCUCUUUGGCAGAUUAAUUUAUCCAGGGUCAUAUCCUCAGCUUUUGAAAAUUCAGAGUUUGAGGGAGCUCCUGGAACUCCUCAGCUCACAUAAGCGCGUGGAGCUGGUCCAACAGUCAGCGGCAAGUCUCCUCAGCCAAGAGAUUUUUGCUAGAUAUGGACUGAGACCCCAAGUCUGAAGCUGUCCAAGAUCAGUCUGCUAAGAAUAUGAACAGUCAUCAAUCAGGUAGUCUGGAAGAAUAUACAGAAGUGUAUCAAUUUGUUCGCAAGUAUUUUCAGACACAAACAACUACAAGAAUUUACCACUGCUAUAUAAAAAUAUAGUCUGGGACCUAGUCAGGUUCAUAAAAGUUCUGUGAAGCUGGAGGAUGCAUUUCCUUGUAGGAGAUGUGUUGAAUUUUGAUGUGCUGAGAGGUGCUGUCAUACACCCCUUAGUGCACAGCAUCAUACUGUUACAUGUCAUUUAUCCUUAACAGGGGAAGAUAGGCAGGAGAAGGAAUGGAAUCAGUCCUAUGCAAUAAAAUAAUUGCUGUCUUCACCAUUUCCUUGCACAGAAAUUUCAUUGUAAUAUGGCAUGGGUAUUCUGUUUCCUUGUGGAUUUGUGAUGGCAGAGGAGGAAGACAGAGAGAAAGGUGACUUUUUUUUUUUUUUUUUUUUUUUUUUAGGAAUACUUUUACAUAUCCGGAAAGUGAAAGUCAUGCCUUGAUGCCUUGUCCCUCAUUUUUAUUUAGGGGGGAAUGUUUGCUGUACACACUCUUGCAACUUGCAAAACUAGCUUUGAAAUAAAAGAAAGAAAAUUUAUCUUCAUAGCUUCAUAAAUUGUAAAUUAUUUAUUUGCUAUCCCUGGUAAAUCUGCUUUUGCAAAACCUCACUGUGAAAUUAGCA
Molecule: long non-coding RNA, 1066 nt
Filed under: Cairina moschata (Muscovy duck)
Lineage: Eukaryota; Metazoa; Chordata; Aves; Anseriformes; Anatidae
Description: domestica (muscovy Duck (domestic type)) lncRNA (ENSCMMG00000007988.1)
Source: RNAcentral